GACGAACGCUGGCGGCGUGCUUAACACAUGCAAGUCGAACGCUGAAGCCCUUUCGGGGGUGGAUGAGUGGCGAACGGGUGAGUAACACGUGGGUAAUCUGCCCUGUACUUCGGGAUAAUCCUUGGAAACGGGGUCUAAUACCGGAUAGGACCUGUCCUCGCAUGGGGGUGGGGGGAAAGUUCCGGCGGUAUGGGUGGAGCCCGCGGCCGAUCAGCUUGUUGGUGGGGUAGUGGCCUACCAAGGCGACGACGGGUAGCCGGCCUGAGAGGGUGACCGGUCACACUGGGACUGAGACACGGCCCAGACUCCUACGGGAGGCAGCAGUGGGGAAUCUUGCGCAAUGGGCGAAAGCCUGACGCAGCAACGCCGCGUGGGGGAUGACGGCCUUCGGGUUGUAAACCUCUUUCGACAUCGACGAAGGGGCCCUGUUGUGGGGUUUUGACGGUAGGUGUAGAAGAAGCACCGGCUAACUACGUGCCAGCCGCCGCAGUAA
Molecule: ribosomal RNA, 493 nt
Filed under: uncultured bacterium
Lineage: Bacteria
Description: partial 16S ribosomal RNA
Rfam family: Bacterial small subunit ribosomal RNA
Source: RNAcentral